Molecule: ribosomal RNA, 460 nt
Filed under: uncultured bacterium
Lineage: Bacteria
Description: partial 16S ribosomal RNA
Rfam family: Bacterial small subunit ribosomal RNA
Source: RNAcentral
CCUACGGGAGGCAGCAGUGAGGAAUAUUGGUCAAUGGCCGGAAGGCUGAACCAGCCAUGCCGCGUGAAGGUCAGUGCCCUAUGGGCGUUAAACUUCUUUUGUGCGGGAGCAAUAAUGGUCACGUGUGGCCAGACGAGAGUACCGUACGAAUAAGCAUCGGCUAACUCCGUGCCCGCAGCCGCGGUAAUACGGGUGAUGCAAGCGUUUUCCGGAAUUAUUGGGUUUAAAGGGUGCGUAGGCUGGGAGGUAAGUCAGCGGUGAAAUGCCCCCGCUCAACGGGGUGAAGUGCCAUUGAUACUGGCUUGCUGGAGUGCGGAUGCCGUAGGAGGAAUGUGUGGUGUAGCGGUGAAAUGCAUAGAUAUCACACAGAACACCGAUUGCGAAGGCAUCUCACGAAGCCGCGAUUGACGCUGAUGCACGAAAGCGUGGGUAUCAAACAGGAUUAGAUACCCCGGUAGUC